Molecule: ribosomal RNA, 253 nt
Filed under: uncultured bacterium
Lineage: Bacteria
Description: partial 16S ribosomal RNA
Rfam family: Bacterial small subunit ribosomal RNA
Source: RNAcentral
UACGUAGGGUGCAAGCGUUGUCCGGAAUUAUUGGGCGUAAAGAGUUCGUAGGCGGUUUGUCGCGUCCGUUGUGAAAGCUUGGGGCUCAACCCCAGGUCUGCAGUGGAUACGGGCAGGCUAGAGUCCGGUAGGGGAGAACGGAAUUCCUGGUGUAGCGGUGAAAUGCGCAGAUAUCAGGAGGAACACCGGUGGCGAAGGCGGUUCUCUGGGCCUGUACUGACGCUGAGGAACGAAAGCGUGGGGAGCGAACAGG